UACGUAGGGUGCGAGCGUUGUCCGGAUUUAUUGGGCGUAAAGAGCUCGUAGGCGGUUUGUCGCGUCGGCCGUGAAAUCUCCACGCUUAACGUGGAGCGUGCGGUCGAUACGGGCAGACUUGAGUUCGGUAGGGGAGACUGGAAUUCCUGGUGUAGCGGUGAAAUGCGCAGAUAUCAGGAGGAACACCGGUGGCGAAGGCGGGUCUCUGGGCCGAUACUGACGCUAAGGAGCGAAAGCGUGGGGAGCGAACAGG
This 253-nucleotide ribosomal RNA is filed under the name uncultured bacterium. RNAcentral's name for it is "partial 16S ribosomal RNA". It matches the Rfam family "Bacterial small subunit ribosomal RNA", at positions 524 to 776 of the family's 1533-position model. The record is from RNAcentral.